AACGAACGCUGGCGGCAUGCCUAACACAUGCAAGUCGAACGAGACCUUCGGGUCUAGUUGCGCACGUGUGCGUAACGCGUGGGAACUUGCCCUUAGGUUCGGAAUAACUCCCCGAAAGGGGUGCUAAUACCGGUUAAUGUCUUCGGACCAAAGAUUUAUCGCCUUUGGAUGGGCGCGCGUUGGAUUAGCCAGUUGGUAGGGUAAAAGCCUAGCAAGGCGACGAUCCAUAGCUGGUCUGAGAGGAUGAUCAGCCACACUGGGACUGAGACACGGCCCAGACUCCUACGGGAGGGAGCAGUGGGGAAUAUUGGACGAGGGGCGAAGGCCUAAUCAAGCAAUGCCGCGUGAGUGAUGAAGGCGUUAGGGUUGUAAAGCUCUUUUACCCGGGAUGAUAAUGACAGUACCGGGAGAAUAAGCACCGGCUAACUCCGUG
Molecule: ribosomal RNA, 433 nt
Filed under: uncultured bacterium
Lineage: Bacteria
Description: partial 16S ribosomal RNA
Rfam family: Bacterial small subunit ribosomal RNA
Source: RNAcentral